CAGAGAUUAGUUUAAUAAAAAUAUUAGUUUUGGGGAUUAAUGUUAAGGAGAUUCCUUAUCUCUGA
RNAcentral lists this transfer RNA (65 nucleotides) under Cryptoperla sp. WY-2013. Its description in RNAcentral is "tRNA-Pro". Lineage: Eukaryota; Metazoa; Arthropoda; Insecta; Plecoptera; Peltoperlidae. The record is from RNAcentral.